Molecule: ribosomal RNA, 447 nt
Filed under: uncultured bacterium
Lineage: Bacteria
Description: partial 16S ribosomal RNA
Rfam family: Bacterial small subunit ribosomal RNA
Source: RNAcentral
UUUCCAGACUCCUACGGGAGGCAGCAGUGGGGGAUAUUGCACAAUGGGGGGAACCCUGAUGCAGCGACGCCGCGUGGGUGAAGAAGCGCCUCGGCGCGUAAAGCCCUGUCAGCAGGGAAGAAAAUGACGGUACCUGAAGAAGAAGCCCCGGCUAACUACGUGCCAGCAGCCGCGGUAAUACGUAGGGGGCAAGCGUUAUCCGGAUUUACUGGGUGUAAAGGGAGCGUAGACGGCGACGCAAGUCUGGAGUGAAAGCCCGGGGCCCAACCCCGGGACUGCUCUGGAAACUGCGGCGCUGGAGUACGGGAGGGGCAGGCGGAAUUCCUGGCGUAGCGGUGAAAUGCGUAGAUAUCAGGAGGAACACCGGCGGCGAAGGCGGCCUGCUGGACCGUGACUGACGUUGAGGCUCGAGAGCGUGGGGAGCAAACAGGAUUAGAUACCCUGGUA